Molecule: ribosomal RNA, 561 nt
Filed under: Lipomyces haiminakanus
Lineage: Eukaryota; Fungi; Ascomycota; Lipomycetes; Lipomycetales; Lipomycetaceae
Description: partial 26S ribosomal RNA
Rfam family: Eukaryotic large subunit ribosomal RNA
Source: RNAcentral
AAACCAACAGGGAUUGCCUUAGUAACUGCGAGUGAAGCGGCAAGAGCUCAAAUUUGAAAUCUGGCAUCCGCCCGAAUUGUAAUUUGUAGAAGCAACUUUUGAAUUAGUCCUUGCAUAUGUUCCUUGGAACAGGACAUCAUAGAGGGUGAGAAUCCCGUUCAUGGUGGGGAGUCUAUUUCUUUGUAAAGUGCUUUCGACGAGUCGAGUUGUUUGGGAAUGCAGCUCUAAGUGGGUGGUAAAUUCCAUCUAAAGCUAAAUAUUGGCGAGAGACCGAUAGCGAACAAGUACAGUGAUGGAAAGAUGAAAAGUACUCCGAAAGGAGAGUGAAAUAGGACGUGAAAUUGUUGAAAGGGAAGUGCUUGAGAUCAGUGAUAGAGUUUAGUGAUCAGCUUUCUUUUUAGUUUGUGCACUUGCUAUUCUCUAGGCCAGCAUCAGUUUGGAAGGUAGGAUAAUUGCAUAGGAAUGUGGCUGUUUCGGCAGUGUUAUAGCCUGUGUCGAUACUACUUGCUAGACUGAGGACCGCGCUUUUGCUAGGAUGUUGGCAUAAUGAUCUUAAGCAGC